Molecule: long non-coding RNA, 7501 nt
Organism: Symphalangus syndactylus (siamang)
Lineage: Eukaryota; Metazoa; Chordata; Mammalia; Primates; Hylobatidae
Source: RefSeq, a predicted model, not a curated record
GCACGCACCACCACACCUAGCUAAUUUUUGUAUUUUUAGUAGAGACGAGGUUUCACCAGGUUGGCCAGGAUGGUCUUGAACUCUUAACCUCAAGUGAUCCACCUGCCUCAGCUUCCCAAAGUUCUGGGAUUACAGGGCGCCAAAAAUUGGCACUUUUAAAAGGAGACAAGUUUUACUUAAAAGCAAAUGCCUUUAAAAGGCCUUUGGCUGGACUAAAUGAUAAUGAAGCGAAGCGAAGCGAAGCUUGUGACCACUCUGUAGAGCCAUCCAGAUAGUCUCUCUUUGGGGCCAUAUCCUCGAGAAUGCAUGAUCUAGGGUCAUUCAUUGCACAUUCCUGGCUUCAGACUGGUUUUCUGAAUUUCCCUGCGAUCUGAUUUUUGUCUUCCUACAUUUUUGUGUGUGUGACACAUCAAAAGGUAAAAGAAUGUGUGAAUCAUAUGGGUACGGUUUAAAUAAUACCUGCAUACACAACACUUAGUCACCUGAAACCUCCCCCAACACCUCCCAAUUCCAGUCCCCUCUCCUGGAGGCCACCUCUAUUUUUAAUUUUUGUAAUGAUCACUUCCUUGCCUUAGUUUGUAGUUUUAAUAUUUAGGUGUGUAUACCUGGUCAUGUUCAUAAAUGAAAUCAUAUUGUAUGAAUUAUUUUGUGUCUUGUUUCUCUUACUCAGCAUUGUUUUUCAGGCUUAACCAGUGGAUUUGUGCUGCUGGUUCACGAUCAAAGUUCUAGACUGUGAAAACAUUAGUUUCAUGAAAACGUUAGGAUUUGUCCCCCCAAUUGUUUGGAUAUCAUGAAGAAUGCCGCUGUGAACAUGCUUGUUCCUAUGCCGUAACUCACGUGGGAAUAUCUCCUAUUUAUAUAUAGUUAGGGGUGGGAUUGCUUGGUCAGAGUUUGCAUAUCUGCAGCUCUAACUGUUUUCCAAGAUGAUUGUGUCAAUUUUCAUUCCCACAGCAGUUUUUAAAGUUCCCAUUGUUCUACAUCCUUGCCAGCCUAUGAUAUUGUUAGCAAUGUUUUUUCGUAUUUGUAAUGUUUCCUAAUCUAGCGGCUGUGGUUGCUGUCUCACUGUGUUUAAUUUGCAUUUCCAUGAUUACUAAUGAGUUUGAGCACCUUUUUAUAUCUGCGUGGUGAUUGGGAAUGCCUUAUUUGUGAGAUGCCUGUUCAAGUCCUGCCAUUAUCCGUUGUGUAUAUGUUUCACAUUAUUUCACCCAAGUUCUCUGUUGCCCAGGUUUGUUUCAGAUUGGUUUGGGACAGUGGAUCAGAUCACAAAUGUUUCAGUGAGAUCUCUCAUUCUAUUUCCUAGGAUGCUUUUAUCUGUGAGAAAUACAACCCCCUGCUCACACUGGCUUAAGGAAAUUGGCAAGAGGUAGAUUAUGGCUCCAUUAUAUUAACAGGAAGCCAAUUUUCUCUGCCUUCUUACUCUUCAUUUCAUUUUCGGCAUAAUCUCAUCCUCAAGGUGUUUUAUCUUAUGAUUUCAAGAGGACCAUAAAUGUUUCCAGGGGCCACGUCCAUGAAGCAGGAGGCAUCUCCAGUGAAUGCCAUGCCCUGACGCCUUACUGAGCACUCCUAGUAGGACAAAAUGAGUACUGUAUGGGGAGGAGGCAACCUCAAACAACCACCAUGCUUACUGCCAAGCCUAUAGGGUUUUUUAAAUUCAUUUUUUAAUUUGCAUAUAAUAAAAUGCAUUUUUUUGGUAUGCAGUUUUCUGAGUUUUGCCAAAUGCACAAAAUCACGUAACUGCCACUGCCAUCAAGAUUGGGAACGGUGGCUAGGUGUGGUGGUGGCUUACACCUCUAAUCCCAGCAUGUUGGGAAGCUGAGGCAGGAGGAUCGCUUGAGCCCAGGAGUUCAAGAUCAGCCUGAGCAACAUAGUGAGACCCCGUCUUUACGAAAAGCUUUUUAAACAUUAGCUGGGCAUGGUGGCAUUGCCUGUAGCCCGAGCUACUUGGAAGGUUGAGGUAGGAGGAUCACUUGAACCUGGGAGGUUGAGGCUGCAGUGUGCUGUGAUUGCACCACUGUACUCCAGCCUCGGUGACAGAGGAAAACCCCACCUCAAAAAAUUUUUUUAAAAGAUUUAGAAUCGUUUUCUUUUCCUUUUUUCUUCUUUUCUUUCUUUUUUUUUUUUUUUUUAGCCAGAAUUUGGCUCUUGUCACCGGGGCUGGAAUGCAAUAGCACAAUCUUGGCUCACUGCAACCUCCGCCUCCCAGGUUCAAGUGAUUCUCCUGCCUCAGCCUCCCGAGUGGCUGGGACUACAGGCGCCCACCACCACACCUGGCUUUUUUUUUUCUUUUUUUUUAGUAGAGGCAGGGUUUCACCGUGUUGACCAGGCUGAUCUCGAACUCCUGACCUCAGCACUUUGGCCUCCCAAAGUGCUGUGAUUAUAGGCAUGAGCCACUGUGCCUGGCCUAGAAUAGUUUCCUUACUCCCCCAAAACUGCUUUGUGCUGCCUUUUUGUAGUCCACCUGACCUUAACCCCAGCUCCCCCACAUUAGAAACCACUGAACCGCUGAUCUGUUCUUCACCGUAAAGCUUUCCCUUUUCCAGGGUGUAGCGUACGUGGAAUUAUAGAGUAUGUCACCUUUCAAGUCUGGCUUCUUUCAUCUAGUGUAAUGCAUUUGAGAUUUAUCUAUGCUGUCGGAUGUAUCAGUAAGGUUGUGUCUUAGCAGUGCUGAGAAGUAUUCCUUCGCAUGGAUGUACCCAGGUCUGUUUAUCCAUUCAUCAGUUAGAGGACAACUGGGUUGUUUCCAUUUUGGGCUGAUUACAAAUAAAGCCACUAUGUACAUGCACCUCUAGGUUUUGGGUGAACAUAAGUUUUCAUUUCUCUUAAGUUUCAAUACCUAGGAGAAUGAUUGCUAGGUCAAUGGUAAGAGCGUGUCUAACGCUACAAGAAAGUGCUAAACUGUUUUCCAAAGUGAGCGUAGCAUUUUGUAUCCCCACUAGCAAUGAAAUGAGAGCUCUGCUUGCUCUGUAAGAGGCAUUAGUGAAUGUGAAAGUGCUUUGUAAAGAGUUAACAUGUCUCAUAGCGUGCCCAGGCGGGAAGAUUCAGAGGGGGCAUUUCUAAACUCUAAACUCCUGUGAGCUCCUAGCCCAUCCUUCUGAAUGGGGACAGAAUACUUCCAUUUCCAGGUUACUUGCUUCUCCAAAAGGGAGACAGGGAAGUAUCCUUCUCUUUUUGCAAAUGAGGGCACAGCACUGCCUCUCGUGGUUGAGCCAGUCAUUAUUCAGUAGGAACACCAGUGAGAUUCUCCAGCCUUCUGUUUUAUUCCUGGGGUCACAAAGUAAAAUGCAGCGUGAUCACUUGGAGCUUUCUUAUGCUUUGUGACAAGAACAAAGCCAGUGGAAACAGCCAUGUGUCCAAUCAGAAUGUCAGAGCUGGCAGGGACCUUAGCAAUUGUCACUUUAGAGAUGAUAACCGAUCACAUCCCCAGGUCCAGAAUCCCAGCCCAGGACUCACUCCUUCAGCCUUCCUGGAUUGCCCUGGGUGGAACAAGAUCAGCUCAUUUAGCACAUAGCCUUCCAGAACACAAGGCAGUGUCCCACCAAGGUGGGAUGGGACCGGCUUCUCUAUCCACAGUAGCUGUGCACACAGAGACAGAAAUGAAGCCGUUCUGCCGGGUGCACCGUGGCCAGAGAUCCUCCUUCCUGGUAUAUACUUCCAGAGCCUUUGCUUCUUUCAUUUCAGUGCCCAUUUCUGAGGCACCUUCACAUUUCAAACGUCCUGAGAAUAUGUUUAAUUAGAACUUGGCCAUACAGCCUUUUAAAACAAAACAGAAGGGACCAGCUAAUUAUAUCGCUCAGCAUUCUGUGGCAAACAUAUAUUUUUUAAUAAAACACUUUCCUAACCAGAGUAAUCCCUGGAGAUGCAAAUCCUCAUUUAUAAGAAGUUCCCCAAAGGGAGUUAAAGAGAAGAUGCCUUAUAAAGAAAAGAGACAAAGAGAGUGGGGAAGUGUUUUCAAAGAGCUUUUAAAAGAUACACUCAUUCUGAGGUUGAAUUACAGAUAUUUUAAGGGUACCAAAUUUUAUUUCAGAUGUAAUCCUUUCCUGUGUUUUUGAUCAUGUAUUUCCGUUUUUUCCCUUUUUGAUCAUUGCCACAAAUGCCCAUAUUUCUCUUUCUGGUGUCUUUCAUAAGUGCAAUAUUUAAAUAAACAAGGGAUUUUCCCAAAAUGCACCUUAUCUCCUACUCUUUGUCAUUUCCUUGUCUUGCUCUGCAAAUAACCGUUGUGUCUCACAGCAGAGCUUACACAGAAUGCAUGUAGGGCAGUCUGUGGUCCUGGGGAGGGCCUUCCCUGUAAUCUCUGUAGCCCAGGACAGGGAGAGGGAGGAUUUAGGUCCUGCUGCGGCAUGUCUUCAGGAGUGGAGGUCGGCUUGGGACAUUUGCAUUCAUGAGGCAGCCGCAGAGGGUCAGAGCAAUAACUGUGCCAGCUGAUGUUUGCUGGGGGGUUUACUCCAAGCCAGGCCACACGCUAAGAAAUUUAGGUAUCGCACCUCAUUUAAUCCUCACAAUACUCACAAAAUGUAGUUGUUUUGCUCCAUUUUGCAGAUGAAGAAGAUGAGGCUUGAGAGACGAAGGAAUGAAUGAAGGGUCUCACAGCUGUUAGAAGGGUUAGAUCUUGUAUUUGGACUCAGGUCUGCCUGCCCUGGAACUUGGCUCUCCCACAUCUGGUGCUGGGCGCACUAGGAGACGUCACAAGGCUCAGAGAUGCCACCCUUCCUAGAACGGGCGCUGUGCCUCUCUUCUCCACACACUGCAGGGGGGACAGGCACUGCAUUUUCAGAUAAGUUCUGUGUGCAUCAGAGGCUCGGUGGGAAAGAGAGGACACACUCAGAUUAGGAUUAUUCAUGGAGGAUUCUCCAAAGAGGCUAUUUGGAAGGCCGGAGGGAAUGGUGAAGGAAAGCACAAGAGAAAAUGAACAGAACCGUUACUUCCUCACGCCUGAAGGGGAUGGGUUACUGGAAGCCAGGAGGAGAAUGUGGUGAGAGCCCCUUUUAGAGAUUUCACCUUCAGGAGAAAGUCAGGGCCCAAGAAGACCCACAGGGAGGUGACCAGGGAAUGGCAUACUUGGGCUACGCUCUCUUCUCUUCCUCCACUCUCCUGCCAGGGCUCCGCAUUGGAUAAACCCCUGCAGGGGUGAGUGAAAACUGCCACCCAGGUCUGCCUCCCAGGGCACAGCCCAUGGAGAGCUCUAAGGCAAGUGGCAGAAAACUAGCACAGGCACAGUGCGUCUUGCAAAGCACUCAGCCCGUGCCGGCUCUGGGCUGGAAAUGGGAAGAGAGGAGACCAUAGCACUGCCCUCAAAGAUCUUAGAGUCUGUGGAGGAGUCAGGCAGAGAGAGGGGGUGUUCCCCUGACAAAGGAUUCCAUGAGCAGAUGCAGGCCAUGGGCGACGCUCCUGCAGAAGCUUUGGGGUUUGUUGCGUGUGCCUGGAAGGAACGCGCCCACCUUGACAUGCCUGGCCUCCUGUUGCCAUUGACAACGUGAAGGCAAACUCCUGAGGCCGGGCCUUUUUCCUUGAGAUAAAAUAUGUAUAAUUCUCUGUUAUCAAAUGAUUAUUAAAUAAAAUCUAAUUGAAAAAAUAGAAAGAAGAAAAGAGAAGUCAUUUAUCAUCCUGUUCUCCAAAGACAACUGUGAACGGCUUGGUGGAACUCCUUCCAGUGGCUUUCCUUGGAGCUUUGCCUCUGUGGCUGUGGUGAAAAACCGUGAUCACUUGCCUUGAAUACAAUGAAAACAAGAAAACAUUAUUAAAUGCAAGCUAGAUACAAAAUGUGAGAAUGAUGUUAAAGAGAUCCUGGUACCAAAAGAAGCCUUCCACCUGGAUAUCAUCAGAGGGACAGAAAGAAUUAAAGUAUGGACAAAUUUCUCAAAGUGGUAUUACUGUUAUUUAAUGAGUUCUCCAUGUGCUAUGUAAAGCCUUUCAACUACAUCUUUUAUGACGUAUCCCAUAUGGACAGAGUCCAAUUCCCUCAUUUAACAGAUGGAAAGGUUGAAGACCAGAGAGGGGAAGGAGCCCUACUGAGGUUCCAAUAGCUUUCUGAUGCCUGAUACCAUGCUUUGCCUUAUUUCUGCUGUCCACCUCAUCAGCUCUUAAGUGAAUGCUGUGGUCCCUAAUUGUGGGAUUGCAGUGUGUCCAGUCGGGGCAGCCUCUGCACUUUCCUGGAGGAAAAGGCAGAGUGAUCUCUCGCUCGGUGAUCUCUCACCAGGGUGAUCUCUCUGCAUAGGGCACCCAGGCUGGAAACUAACAGGGAGCCGGCCAGCACACCCAGCAGGUGCCAGGCUGCAGGGAGCUCCUGCUUCAUCUCAAACACAAGAACACUCAGCUCAAAGCACAAUAUUUUCUGGCUUAGAGUUUGGCUCUUAGAGUGGCAGCUGUUCCUACCAAAGCAAACAUUGAAAAUCUGUAAUUUUCAGAAAUAAUCGCCAACCCUCCAAAGAGAUGUGUUUACACCGAAACUCCUCCGUGUGUUCACCCUGCAUUCACUCAGUGUCGAGUUGCAGUUUUCUCUGCACUGCAUCACUGUGCUUCCUCCUGAACAAUCGUUUUUGCCAGGGAGCAUCAGCACAGACAACUAGAUCCUGAGCGAUGACCAGCUGGGCUCCUCCCCAAAUGGAGCCAGAUAAUUUUGUGUUACCACUUCUGCAUUUUUUUCAAAUCACAUCUAUGCUUAAGCAGAGAGCAAACUCUCAACUCCAGCAGCCAGCCCAUGGGAAGCUAUAAACCUUCAUCAGUUCAACUUCAGGUGUCUUCAUCAGCCUCUCCCGUAGGUGGCCUUGCAACCUGACCUUGGUUUCAAAAUUAAAAAUGCAGUUUCCUUGGCCGUCUCCGGACUUACAGAGCCUGCGGUUGGAGACUCAUACAUUCUACAUUUUAAAAUGGGACUCACAGGCCUGUGUACUUGAGGCCGAUGGAUGGAUGGCGUUGCCUGGCUGGGAAAUGUCAAUUUCCCAACUGGGCAUCCAUCCAUCCACUGGCCAAGCAGCCAGUGGAUCUUUGUUGAGCCGUUCCUGUUUGCCAAGCCUUGGGUACAUCUCUGCUGCGAGGGAGGAGGAGGUCCCCACCUUAAGGAGCUUUUAAGGCUUGUUGGGAAGGCAAGGCACAUGUCUGAAAAACCCCCUUGCAUGCAAGUUAACUAAGGAUAGGGGAUGAUGCCAUGAGACCUCUGCCAUCCACGUGGCAGAACCUGCUCUGCUGAUUUCCUGGCUUGAUGUCCAUUUGCUGCUGGCUCAUGCUCAUAUUCACAAGUCACUCUUGAGAGCCCUUUCCCUGUGCCAGGCCCUGUGCUGAGUUUUAGACACGCAGGGAUGGACAGCACACAGCCUUGGCCCUCCAGGCGCUUGCAUCCGACUGUGGAGAGCCACUCUUAGAAACCCAGGGAGCAAUCCAAGUCUGUGUGUGAUGCCACUCCUGGACCUUGGGAACACAGAGCCCCCGCCAGUGCCCUGGGAGCUGGUGUUCUUGCAGGGGUGGAGACAGACCUGUCCUUUGUGGCCUGUUAGUUUCCUUGUGGCUG